This 311-nucleotide long non-coding RNA is filed under the name Vigna radiata. Its description in RNAcentral is "long non-coding RNA (VRAD_LNC014014)". Lineage: Eukaryota; Viridiplantae; Streptophyta; Magnoliopsida; Fabales; Fabaceae. The record is from RNAcentral.
UUUUUCAACCUUCAUCACCAAGCUCAGUUUCAACCUGGCCUUUAUAAGUCCAGUUUCCACACUAGCCCCUAUAAGCCUAGCUCGCCUGGCCCACAAAGCCCAGUUUCUGCACUGGCCCAUCAAGCCCAACUCGUUUGGCCCUCUUAACCUCAAGUUUCUCUUUUUAUAUCGGCCCUCUGCCUGGCAAUGAUCGAAUUUUGGUUUUUAUUCUAUGAGUUUGGCCCUUUGCUUGGCAAUGGUCAAAUCUAGGUUUUAGUUUUGCUAUCGGCCCUCUGCUUGGCAAUGGUCGAAUUUGAGUUUUUCUUCUGGCC